Molecule: long non-coding RNA, 6564 nt
Organism: Equus caballus (horse)
Lineage: Eukaryota; Metazoa; Chordata; Mammalia; Perissodactyla; Equidae
Source: Ensembl
GUUUGGGAUUUUCAUGGACAGAAUGUCAUCCCCUAGGAAGGGUUUUUAGAUGGGAAAAAUCCAAAAAGAACUCUAGUCUUACAAAUUGGAGUUCAGUGCCAAGUCUCAAGAGAGAUUUUAAAGCAUCUUAUCCAUAACGUAGGUGUUUUAUUGUAAUGACAAGGAAAAAUGUGUUUUGUUUACUUGUUCUCACAAAGUAGCAAAUGCCUGAAGAAUAAAACCAGUGCAUGAGUUCAAAGCCAGUCUACCAGCAAAAGGAGGCCAGCUUAAUUAGCUCAUCAUUAGGCUAGUGAUUCAGAUCCCCAAGAUAACGAUCAUUAUUUUUCCAGAUCUUCAUUGUACCAGUUCCAUUCCUUUUAUUGCAAGUGACAGAAACAUAAGAUAGACCAACAACAGAAAACAAUGCAAACCAAACCAAAGCUUUGCAUGAAUCUAGGACCUAAAAGCUAUUAAGCUAUUGCCAGGUCUUCUCAUUCUGUUUUCUUUGCUCUAUUUCUUUUUAUGAGUUGGCCUCAAUCUUUCUGUAGUUGGCCGCACACCACAUGGGAUGGAAGAUGCAUGUAGUUGAAAUGAGCAAGAAAAACAAAAUAUAAAAACCUAUUCCUAUGAAAGCAUUAAUAGUGAAAGAAAAGGAAUUUCCCCUAAAACACAAUUAUGGGUCAAUACUGGGCCUUCAGUCAGCAAGCAUGUUGAGAGUUGACCAUCCUAGAAAUCAGCAAGAACAAAGUUUGAAUCUAGACUUGAGGACCUACUAGGUCUAUAACAGACGAGUUAACAAAAUUCACUCAGAUUUAGUUCUUUCAUAUGUAAAAUGAGCAUGGAGGUACUUUGAAAAGUUGUUAGCAUUAAUGAAAUAAAGUAUAUCAAGUGCCAUACACAGUAGUAGCUCAAUAAACAAUAAUAGUAAUCAAUACCUAUAACAGUAGCCCCAGUUCCCUGUCUCAUAAUAUAAUGUAGAAUAUGUGCUGCAAAGUCAAGAAGAUCCAAUGCUUCCAUCUUGUGGUCUAAGGACUUUGUUCUUAUCAGUCAGGAUCAUGGCAGGAAACAGCACAUCAAAGAAUUUAAUUAAAGCGGUGGUGCAGCAGCUAAGUUCUCAUGUUCCACUUCGGUGGCCUGGGGUUCGCUGGUUCGGAUCCCAGGUAUGGACAUGGCACCACUUGGCAAGCCAUGCUAUGGUAGGCAUCCCACAUAUAAAGUAGAGGAAGAUGGGCAUGAAUGUUAGCUCAGAGCCAGUCUUCCGCAGCAAAAAGAGGAGGAUUGGCAGCAGAUGUUAGCGCAGGGUUAAUCUUGCUCAAAAAAAAAAACUUUAAAAAUUAAAAAAAAAGAGUUUAAUUAAAGAGAGUUCAAUGAAAGGACAAUUUAUAAAGAGGAAUCACGGGUGAAGGAGACAACAAAGGGUCAUGUAGCACACAGGGAUUUGCAACAGUGGGAGGCUGCUCUCAUCCUUUGGCCUGAAGCUAAAAGGAGUGGGAUGUGUUAGAGAACCUGGGAGGAGGUAGGACCAUGGAAGAGGGGCCUCAGACAUGAACUGAGAAAUGUAGCAGAGAAAUGUAGGCACUGCUAAACCAUAGUCCAACAGGAGGAUAUAAAGGAAUAAAUACCCAGCCUCUCCCUUUUCUUACCCUCUGAGUUUCCACUGAUGCCUCCUAUUGGUCAAACCCAAAUAGUAGCCAGAUAGCAAAGAUAUCUGGUGAUACAGUCUGUAGAAGUCAGCCUCCUAAAGCACAGGGCAGUGAAAAGAGCAAAUAAAAUAUAUAUAUAAGUAAAAAUAGGCAUGCGCCAGCACAGUCCUUUCUGCCAUUCAGCUUCCAUUCUUAUCCUUUUAUUUAGAUAAAAAGCUACCAUACGCAGCACAAAGGAAACACAAACUCCUAAGUGCCACUUUGUCAUUGUCCUCCCAAUGGCUUGCCCUCCACUGGCUCUUCAUCUGAUGCCGUCAAUGGUGAAUAUUUAAAAUACUUGUCACUUCAUGACAUCAAUUACCAGUGUCAAGAUUGCCCAUUUAGUCUUUCAGUAUCCCCACAAAACCCAGAAUUGCAUUUUGAGGGUUAGGUUCUUGCGCCCAAACUUGCUACCAAUUAUUUUCUCUAUCAAAAUUCUAUCGGAAAACAGAUUUCACAUUUAAAAUUUUAAUUAAAUGGGGUAUAAUGAAAGGAUAAUUUAAAGAUGGGUGGGGAUGACUAAGGAAACCAACGAGGAAUGGUAAAGUGUUCAGAGAUUAGCAAUUUCAUGCAACAUUAGUACACUGUGCCCGAGUGAGCAAAGGAAAGAAACAGUGAUUCAGAGUCUGAUGAGAGCAGGAACUGUCACAAAGACUCUGUUAGGUACACAAACACAACCACUGGCAAAACUGUCACCUGGUCGACAAGAAGCAAGGAAAAUAAAUACCCAGCCUCUUUCUUUUCCUGCUUUCUAAUCUGUCAAUGCAUGUCAUUGGCCAAAACCAAACGGAAGCCAGAAGUCAAGAGAGCCUGGAUCUUGCCUUUUAUAGAAUUUGCUCUCACAAGAUGCAGAGCAGGGCAGAAAAGAAUGAAAAGUAAAUUGAAAUUAUCACACAGAGGAAACUAGCAGUGUCAUUAACUUGCUUCUCUUCUGAGUUAAAAAUUAAUCAGUGAUGUCUUCCAAUUGGAAGCUGAAAAUGGUUAUAAAGUCUUGGAAGAGAGAAACUUAUCAAAUAAGCAGAUAUCAUGCUGGGUCUCAAAGGAACCCUGAUAAGAUUUUUCUUUUCUUUUCCUCUCUUUUAAGUAUCUAACUGCCUGAUUUCCAAUGCUUCUAUUUCACUGAGACUCCAGAAUGAGAAACACAAUGAGUGAAAUAUGGGUAUCUAUUUAUUUGGUGAUUAGACACACGUUUCACAAGUUCCUCCUCUAUAAUCCACACGAUGAAAGGCAUUUAAAACCACAUUUUGGAGUUAUUUAACAGGAGGUAUUUGGUAUUCCUUUUAGGACAAAGAGAGGAGAACAAAAUGUUGAAUGAGAAAAAAAAAGUUGGGAAGGAAUUUGGGAGGCUAUUAUCCAAAAUCAAUCAAAACAUUCAAAAUUGCAUAAGGAAAAAGUCCCAUUUGUGUUCAGAAUGACAAAUCUAUGCUGCCUCAGUAAUGCCUACAAAAGUCAGGUGCCUGCUUUGCUCCGGCAGAGAGACAUAUCCAUCACGAGGCUUAAUAUGUCCGCCUGUACUUUUUCAAAAGCUUUGCAAACGCCUGCUGAUUUACCUGCAGUACAUUUUCCAGAAACUGUUGGAUAAAAUGACAACAUAUAUAUUUAGUUUCACACUUCAGUCUGUCCAAUUAGCUGUGUUUGCAGUACCAGCUGUGAGCCCAGGAGAGGAUUUAAUUUUAAGUACAGCAGUCUAGUUAACAAAAAAGGGGGGAGAAAAAAAGCUGAGCCAUGAAUUUGCCAAGUAUUAGUUUCCAAUCAUUUGUUUCUGAGAAAUAGCUCUUCAUUGCUAUUACUGAAGAUCGCUCAACGAACUAGCUCCUGAAAUUAGAUAAAGGAGCGGCGUGCAGCAGGCUGCCGUGGGAGCUCCUGUAACAGGGAUGGGGUAAUUACGAGGACACCUUUGGCAGACUCCCUACUCUCACUUACCCGUGGUUGACUUAUCUGAACAAUGCAAGUCCUCCUCGCUCAUUUUCACUGAUUAUGAAAUGAGGUCAAAGAUCUUUGAAAACAUUAAAAUGUCGCAUUAACACUAAAACAUGGGGAAAAAAAAAAAAAGGAAGAAGAAAGAUUGACUUUUAUACAAAGAGAAUCAACCUGGUAGAUUGUCUCUUUUUCACUCAAUAUUUAGGCAAAAAGUAAAUACGAACUGCUAUUUUGGGGAAUAUCUGAAGGAAAAAGAUGGUACCAGAGAAGUAGCAUUGAACUAUGAAUUAUUUUAGAGACAACAAAGGAGUUUAUGAAUCCUAGUCUUGGAAAUAUUUCAAAGGUGACCAGAAAAUCAUCUAAUGGGACUAAUGUUGAGCAAGGACAGGAAAUUUUUCGUACAAUUUUUACUAUCCAUGGCAGAGAUAUAAUAAGAAGAAUCAUUUAAGUAAUAGUAAACUAAAAUUGUCUCUAUAGAUUAUGGUUUGAAAAAAGGAUAAAUACUAGAUGUCAUAAUUAUCUCAUUUAAAAUUAAUCUCAGGCUCCAAAGAGGGGAAAGGGGAAUGUAAAACAGCUAAAAUAAAACGUUUGAGAGAAAAUGAAUUCAAAAAGUAUUCAAACCUAACUGAAAUGAAUAUAUAAAUAUAUGAUGAAACAGUUAUGAUAAGAAAUACUUUUAUUACUGAAUUAAAAUUUUUAAAAGUGAAUUAAGCCUGCAAAUAUGGGAGUGAGAAAGAAAAUAACAGAUGAACCAAAGAAAAGAGAAGAAAGGAAUUAAUAAUGAUGUAGACAGAAAGGAAACAGACAAUGUAAAAAUAUAGACAUAAUUAAUUAAAUCUAAGGAUAAAAUGUUUUAGUCAGGGCUGCUCUCAGCAGCUUGAGGCUAGUCUUAGGUCCUUGCCACACAGCCCUCUCAUAGGACCUCUCACAACAUAGUACCUUACUGUUUUAAGGCCAAUAGGAUAAUCUCUCUGACCUCUAGAACCUCUUUUAAAGGGACCAUCUGAUUUAGUCAGGCCCACCAGGACUUCUUUCUUUAGAUUAAUUUAAAACCAACUGAUUGGGAACUUUAAUUAUAUCUGCAAAAAUCCUUGACCUUCUAAUAUAACCUAAUAAUGGGAGUGACAUUCAGCAUAAUUACAGGUGCUGCCCACAUUCAAGGGAGAGUAUCAUAUAUCACUAUUACACCAUGGAGGUGGGAACCUUGGGAUCCAUUUUAGAAUUUUGCCUAUAACAGUCCAAACUCUAGCCCCCAAUGAUUUACAUUCUUCACAAAUGCAAAAUACAUUCAUCUCUUCCAAGGGUUCUUAAGUGUCUUGUCCCAUUUUAGCAUCUGCUCAGAGUCCAAAAUCUCAUUAUCUAAGUCGUAACUAGGUGAGCAUGAGGCUCCCACAUGUAAUCUGCUAAAUAACAGUUUCUGUGGCUCAAUUCUCUUCCACCUGCUCACCUGUGAAACUAAAGAGACAAGACAUCAACCCCCAGGAGUGAAUAUGCAAUGGUGAGACAGGCACAAAAUGAUAGCUGUGAACAUUCCAGUUCAAAAAGGGGAAAAAUGGAAAGUAGAAAGGAGUUACUGGUCCAUGGCAGUUCUGAAAUCCAGCCAGAGUUCCUUGAUUAGGUUUCAAGCCUGGGAAUAAUCCACCAAGGCUUUCAGUUUCACUCUCCAAGAUCUUGGUUCUGCCCAUGGAGUCAUCAUUCCUUUUCUACAAAAGAAGAUCUUUUCAGCUGAGUGGUUUUAUUAGCCUCUUUCUUCCAGUAGAAUCUUGGGAUUCUCAAUCUCUUUUUAUUUUAUACUCUCCAUCCCUUUUAGUCCAAGCUGGCAGUGUUUCUGCUGAAGCAAUUUUCUUAAAAACUCUGAGAAUCUUGCAUGGAUUGUCACUGGGUUUCACUCCAUUAAACAAAGCCACCCACAGGAAUCUUUAUGAGCUAAUCCCUCCUCUGUCUUUGCCUCCUGCUGAGAUGGCUCAGGGUUAAAAGCCAGUAAACUUCCUAGAGGCCUCUGGUUUGAUGGAGGGGAUCUGUGAGGCACAGAAAGGGCCCUGGGUAUGACUGAAUAUGCUGACUUUUUGAUCUUUUAGAAGUUUCAGCAAAAGGUUGUACAGACACACCACAGCCUCUUCUCUAUGCGGCAGUUUCAGAUGCCAUUUCUGACUUUUGCCAUCCUGAGAGGCUGAGAAUUUUCAAAAUUAUCUCGUCAUAACUCCUCUGGUUUAACAGUUGUCCCCCCAGUUUAUCUUCCCUCUCACAUUUUACCAUAAGCAGCACGAAAAAACUGGGGGCAGCUUCAACACUCUGGUUGGAAAUUUUCUUAGCUGCAUAACCAAUUUCAUUGCUUACAAGUUCUGUUUUUCAUGUAGCUACAGGAGAAAAUUUAGCUAAGUUUUCUGCCACUACAUAACAAAGAUCCUCUUUCUUCCAGUUGCCAAUAAAAUGCUCCUCACUUUUCUCUAAACCCUCACCAGCAGCAUUCCUAUAGUCCGUAAGUCUACUAACAGUUGUUCAAGUCCAUUUAUAUAUUUUCUAUCAUUCUCUUCAAAAUUAUUCCAGCCUUUACCCACUGCCUAGUGCCAAAGCCAUACUCACAUUUUAGGCAUCUCACUUUCAGGUACCAAAAUCUGUGUUAAUUAUCUAUUGCUGCAUAACAAAUUACCACAAUCUUAGUGAUAAAUAACAGGCAUUUACUUAAAACAACAUACAUUUAUUACCUCACAGUUCCUACGGGUCAAGUCUGAGCAUGGCUUCAUUGGGUCUUCUACUCAAUGUCUCACAAACCUCAAGUCAACAUAUCAGCUGGCGCUGUGGUCUCAUCUGAGGUUUGAGGCUUGAGGUCCUCUUCCAAGUUCAUGUGGUCAUUGGCAGAAUUCAUUUUCUUGCAGCUGUAGAAUUCUUGCUUCUUCAAAGCCAGCAAAAGAGCAAGAGAGAGAAAGAGAAUUUAUUUCGAGUCUGUAAGUCUCUGAUCUCCAGAUUCUCUUUUAAAGGGCUC